UACGUAGGUGGCAAGCGUUGUCCGGCAUUAUUGGGCGUAAAGCGCGCGCCGGCGGCCUCUUAAGUCUGAUGUGAAAGCCCCCGGCUCAACCGGGGAGGGCCAUUGGAAACUGGGAGGCUUGAGUAAAGUAGAGAAGAGUGGAAUUCCACGUGUAGCGGUGAAAUGCGUAGAGAUGUGGAGGAACACCAGUGGCGAAGGCGACUCUUUGGCCUAUAACUGACGCUGAUGUGCGAAUGCGUGGGGAUCAAACAGG
This 253-nucleotide unclassified non-coding RNA is filed under the name uncultured Caryophanales bacterium. RNAcentral describes it as "uncultured Bacillales bacterium contains 16S-23S intergenic spacer region". It matches the Rfam family "Bacterial small subunit ribosomal RNA", at positions 524 to 776 of the family's 1533-position model. The record is from RNAcentral. Lineage: Bacteria; Bacillati; Bacillota; Bacilli; Caryophanales.